RNAcentral lists this non-coding RNA (940 nucleotides) under Xenodermichthys copei (bluntnose smooth-head). RNAcentral's name for it is "12S rRNA". It matches the Rfam family "Bacterial small subunit ribosomal RNA". The record is from RNAcentral. Lineage: Eukaryota; Metazoa; Chordata; Actinopteri; Alepocephaliformes; Alepocephalidae.
UAAAAACUUGGUCCCGACUUUACUAUCAACUUUAGCCUAACUUACACAUGCAAGCCUCCACACCCCCGUGAGAAUGCCCUUAAUCCCCCACCCGGGGACGAGGAGCCGGCAUCAGGCACACCCUAUAGCCCAAGACGCCUUGCUACGCCACACCCCCAAGGGAACUCAGCAGUGAUAAAUAUUAAGCCAUAAGUGAAAACUUGACUUAGUUAAGACUAAGAGGGCCGGUAAAACUCGUGCCAGCCACCGCGGUUAUACGAGAGGCCCCAGUUGAUACACACGGCGUAAAGAGUGGUUAUGGAGUGCACCAACUAAAGCUGAAGUCUCCCUUGGCCGUCAUACGCACCUGGAAGUACGAAACCCCACCACGAAAGUAGCUUUACCCAAACCCACCUGACCCCACGAGAGCUGAGACACAAACUGGGAUUAGAUACCCCACUAUGCUCAGUCAUAAACUUAGAUGUUUUACACAUCCGCCAGGGAAAUACGAGCACCAGCUUAAAACCCAAGGGACUUGGCGGUGCCUCAAACCCACCUAAAGGAGCCUGUUCUAGAACCGAUAAUCCCCGUUAAACCUCACCACCCCUUGUCAACCCCGCCUAUAUACCGCCGUCGUCAGCUUACCCUGUGAAGGCCCCAUAGUAAGCAAAAUGGGUAAAACCCAAAACGUCAGGUCAAGGUGUAGCGUACGAGGUGGGAAGAAAUGGGCUACAUUUUCUGACCCAGAAUAUUACAGACGGCGCCCUGAAAUAAGCGCCCGAAGGUGGAUCUAGCAGUAAAAAGAAAAUAGAGAGUUCUUUUGAAUAUGGCUCUGAGACGCGCACACACCGCCCGUCACCCUCCCCGAAUACCCAUCUAAAAUGUAAAUAACAAGAUAAACUCAUUGAGGGGAGGCAAGUCGUAACAUGGUAAGUGUACCGGAAGGUGUACUUGGACUAAU